GGGCAUGUGGCUCAGUGGUACAGUGCUUAUAUGGCAUGCAUGAAGCCCUGGGUUCAAUCCCCAGCACCACCA
Molecule: transfer RNA, 72 nt
Filed under: Ictidomys tridecemlineatus (thirteen-lined ground squirrel)
Lineage: Eukaryota; Metazoa; Chordata; Mammalia; Rodentia; Sciuridae
Also listed under: 1 other name
Description: Spermophilus tridecemlineatus (thirteen-lined ground squirrel) tRNA
Rfam family: tRNA
About the family: Transfer RNA (tRNA) molecules are approximately 80 nucleotides in length. Their secondary structure includes four short double-helical elements and three loops (D, anti-codon, and T loops). Further hydrogen bonds mediate the characteristic L-shaped molecular structure. tRNAs have two regions of fundamental functional importance: the anti-codon, which is responsible for specific mRNA codon recognition, and the 3' end, to which the tRNAs corresponding amino acid is attached (by aminoacyl-tRNA synthetases). tRNAs cope with the degeneracy of the genetic code in two manners: having more than one tRNA (with a specific anti-codon) for a particular amino acid; and 'wobble' base-pairing, i.e. permitting non-standard base-pairing at the 3rd anti-codon position.
Source: Rfam by way of RNAcentral